UACAGAGGGUGCGAGCGUUAAUCGGAAUUACUGGGCGUAAAGCGCACGUAGUCGGCUUUGCAAGUCGGGUGUGAAAUCCCCGGGCUCAACCUGGGAACUGCAUCCGAGACUGCAUUGCUAGAGUAUGGGAGAGGGAAGCGGAAUUUCUGGUGUAGCAGUGAAAUGCGUAGAUAUCAGAAGGAACAUCAGUGGCGAAGGCGGCUUCCUGGACCAAUACUGACGAUCAGGUGCGAAAGCGUGGAGAGCAAACAGG
This 253-nucleotide ribosomal RNA is filed under the name uncultured bacterium. Its description in RNAcentral is "partial 16S ribosomal RNA". It matches the Rfam family "Bacterial small subunit ribosomal RNA", at positions 524 to 776 of the family's 1533-position model. The record is from RNAcentral.